CGUUACAUUCUGUUCUGCCUUUAACUGAGAAUCUUGAAUUAGCCAGGCAUCUAUGAAGACAGUGAUGUUGUGAAGACAGAGGUAUGCAGCAACUGCAGCAAGACACUUUGGGGCAGUGUACAGUCCAAAGAGAAGGGCUUUGAACUCGAAUAAUGUGUCAUUGAGUGCAAACCUUAGGAGUCUAUGGUGGUCAGGUCAUAUACUGAUGCGCAAUUAUGCAUCCUUUAGGUUGAUGACCAUGAACCAGUCCCACUUCCUUAGAAAAGGAAUGAUGAUUUCUAAAAUUACAACAUAAAAGUAUUUGGGCUUUAUAUAGUAAUUGAGGUCCCUGAGGUCUAGAAUGGAGCAAAGGCCCCCAUCAAACUUGGGACUGUGAAAUCAUGGGAAUAGAAGUCGUUGUGUCCUUGAGAAGUAGGGGUGUGAUUUCCUCUUCUAAUACAGAAGAUGUGUUAUGAGCCUUUAAAAGCCCAUGAGUGAGAGGGUAGGGAAUUUGAUUGCAUCGUCUAAAUGAAUUACAGAAAGGACCCAGGAACUGUUAUUUGUUACUAGAUUUCAAGGUAUAGAGAUAAUGGUUAAAUUGCCGCACUGUGGCCAAAACUGUGCUCACAACCCGGGGUUCAAUCCCAGGUAGCUGACUCAAGGUUGACUCAGCCUUCUAUCCUUCUGAGGUCAGUAAAAUGAGUACCCAGCUCGCUGGGGGAGGGCAAUGUGUAGCCUCCAUAAUUAACUUGUAAACCACCCAGAGAGUGCUUGAAGCACUAUGGGGCGGUAUAUAAGCAGCAUACUUUGCUUUUUAAUAUGGUAUGUGGGGCUGACAGGAGGUGAAAGGGACAAAUUUGCCAAUGAGAAGAAUCAAAGAUGUUGUUUUGUUUUCUUUCAGGUCACCUGGAGGAAGGUUGGCAGAACUGUUCGUUGUGGGUUUGUUGGCAGUAGAACUGAGAAGAGGAAGAAGGAGCUGGGUUCCUUUGUCUGCCAAACUUCAGAACUCCAGUGCACAGUACAAAAGAAGAGAAACCCAGUGCACAGAGUCUGGCCAGACAAAGAUGCUCCUCCAGCCCAGCACCAACGUAAGUGCCAGUCCUGCAGACAGAGGAAAAAAGGAAAACCUUGCUUACCCACCCACCAAUUCAAAAAGCAGACAGCAAGCCAGGCAAGCGUAAAAUACAGCAGAGAGUCCCUUUCUGGGUCCAACAGCAGAAUGGAGGAAAUUCAAGGAAGGCAGACAGCAGUCCAUCCCAAUCCCUCAGUCCACACAUACACGCACAACAGAAACUCAAAAUAGUUGCUGAAACUCACCAAAAUAUACAUCUGCCACAGAAUAAAUUAAAUACAGAACUACUACCA
This 1344-nucleotide long non-coding RNA is filed under the name Pogona vitticeps (central bearded dragon). RNAcentral's name for it is "lncRNA (ENSPVIG00000011674.1)". Lineage: Eukaryota; Metazoa; Chordata; Lepidosauria; Squamata; Agamidae. The record is from RNAcentral.